RNAcentral lists this ribosomal RNA (465 nucleotides) under uncultured bacterium. RNAcentral describes it as "bacterial SSU rRNA". It matches the Rfam family "Bacterial small subunit ribosomal RNA", at positions 338 to 795 of the family's 1533-position model. The record is from RNAcentral.
CCUACGGGAUGCAGCAGUGGGGAAUAUUGCACAAUGGGCGCAAGCCUGAUGCAGCCAUGCCGCGUGUAUGAAGAAGGCCCUAGGGUUGUAAAGUACUUUCAGUCGGGAGGAAGGCGUUGAUGCUAAUAUCAUCAACGAUUGACGUUACCGACAGAAGAAGCACCGGCUAACUCCGUGCCAGCAGCCGCGGUAAUACGGAGGGUGCAAGCGUUAAUCGGAAUUACUGGGCGUAAAGCGCACGCAGGCGGUUGAUUAAGUUAGAUGUGAAAUCCCCGGGCUUAACCUGGGAAUGGCAUCUAAGACUGGUCAGCUAGAGCCUUGUAGAGGGGGGUAGAAUUCCAUGUGUAGCGGUGAAAUGCGUAGAGAUGUGGAGGAAUACCGGUGGCGAAGGCGGCCCCCUGGACAAAGACUGACGCUCAGGUGCGAAAGCGUGGGGAGCAAACAGGAUUAGAUACCCGUGUAGUC